Molecule: long non-coding RNA, 1627 nt
Organism: Oncorhynchus kisutch (coho salmon)
Lineage: Eukaryota; Metazoa; Chordata; Actinopteri; Salmoniformes; Salmonidae
Exons: 4
Source: RefSeq, a predicted model, not a curated record
UCCACCAGUACAGAGACAAUAGGACGGCCCAUAACACUGCCCUAUUGCAGAAACAAGUGGAGGUCAGUUUCAACAUGUCUACACUGUGGCGAAGCACACAAAAUGGAAGAUAUGAAUCAAGGUGUGUAGGAGCUGUCAGGACUGCAGCGCGGUUGUCUGUUGUCAUCGGGCCAGGUGCUGCCCAGUGAGUGUGUCAGUGGAGCUGGCAGAAGACCCCAACACUAUCCCUGCACUCACAGGAACCAUCAUCUCUCUACUGGUCCAACUUGGUUCUGAUGAGUUCCCAAUGCAUUUCUGUCCUAUAAUGUCUUGACAAGUGAUUGACCUUGUCUUACAGCUAUACUAUGAUGUGUGUGUGUUCUCUCUCCCAGCCUGUGUUGAUGAAAGCAGAGCAGUUAUAACCUGACCAGCACUCUGGCCUCCAUCAUCCACAGUGGCACCCCCAGGGAGCUGUUGGUACUACAGGUGCUACAGAGGCUCACGUACAACACCCGGAUAAUCCACUGUGCCAACUAAAUCUAUGAACGCAGACUUUCUCAUGACCAACAUCUAUUCCAUGCUAAGAACAUCCACCUGACAUUCCAGCUGAUCUUCAACAUCAUCGUCAAUGGCGACGGAACCCUAACCAGGAACCACUCUGUUGACCUACUGGUGGACCUACUGAGGAACCCCAAGAUAGCUGACUACCUGACCAGGUACACACACAAACACACACUCACACACUUUAAUAAAACAAUACAAGUGAUGUCUUCCUCUCUGUAGGUAUGAACACUUCUCAGUGUGCGUGUCCCAGGUGUUGGGUCUGCUACACAUCAAAGACCUGGACUCAGCUGCCAAGGUGUUGGAGCUGCUCCUGGCUCUGUGUGGUUGGUUAGGCCUAAGGUCUCUGCUGUGUGAGGUCGUGUUCCGUCCCGCCGCCCCACGGCUCCGAGCUGCAAGUCGCAGACAGGGGGCGGGCCUAGAUGCAGGCCAGAAAACAGAGCCGGGCUUAGGUCUCAUCCAAUGGCUACAGCUCUCUGGCUGACGGGGAGGAGUCAUGCUGUCCACAGGCGCUGCAGCUGCUGACUGAACUACUGGAGGCACGGCAACCCAACGUGGACGUACAGAACUAAAAGUGGAAGCCUGUAUCUACAUAGCUUCAUCAUCCAGUCUAAAUCGUUGAUAACUCCUUUAAGUGUGUGGUGAGGCGGUGUUGAAGACUUGAUGAGUAAACUGAGACAGAAGGUGAAAGACAUGGAGACCAGCUUCUACAGAAUACUACAGGUACACACACACCUGUGGAGCUGAGCUAAAUGAUUGACACGUUAAAUCUCUCUCCCUGUAGGACCAGAGGAUGGUCACAUUCCUCUCUCUGGCUCUCACGUUCAAUCACUAAGAACAUGUUCAGACCGGGCUUCGUCUACUGUUUGAGGCCACGCCUCUCCCAGACUUUCCUUCACUAGCGUGAGGGACUGAACACAAACAUAAACAAGCACAAAUUAAAUCAAAUGUUAUUUGUCACAUGCUUUGUAAACAACAGGUGUAGACUAACAGUGAAAUGCUUACUUACGGGCCCUUCCCAACAAUGUAGAGAGAAAGAAAAUAUAGAAAAGUAAUAACAUGUAAUGAUAAAAGUAAUAAUAAAUAA